UAGGAUUUCUUGGAAUGCGCUUUUUUGCUGGUCCUCGUUGUGUCCACUUUGAUUUGCCUUAUAAAUAUCCCUUCUCCACUGUGCAGCCCAUUAUCUUUCUUUGUGUCUAAGCAAAAGCACCAACAGAAACUCUCUCUACAGUUAGAUCCAACCCAAAUUCUUCAUUAAUUCAACAAUGAGUUACUACAAUCAACAACAACCCCCUGUUGGUGUGCCACCACCACAAGGAUAUCCGCCAGAAGGUUACCCAAAAGAUGCAUACCCACCACCAGGGUACCCACAGCAGGGUUACCCUCAACAAGGUUACCCACCUCAAGGGUACCCUCCACAGUAUGCACCUCAGUAUGGUGCUCCACCUCCUCAUCAACAACAACAGCAAUCUGGUACUGGUUUCAUGGAAGGAUGUUUGGCUGCUCUGUGCUGUUGCUGUCUCUUGGAUGCAUGCUUUUGAUGCUGUAAAUGAUCUGUGCCAUGUGUUGGUGGCAAAAGUUUAUUAAACCAAUUCUAUCAUAGUCUAGACUUUCUCUUUUUGUGUUUGUCUUUGGUGUCCUGUACUGUCCUUGAUAAAUAAUUUGAUAUUAAAUAUGACGAUGCACCUUGUUAUGGUGGGAGAAUUCAAGUGUCUAUUUGCCAAUUUAUACAUUAUUGUGCAAUGCAAGAGAUUCUAUUUUUUUAAAA
Solanum lycopersicum (tomato) is the source of this 678-nucleotide long non-coding RNA. RefSeq annotates it as cysteine-rich and transmembrane domain-containing protein WIH2. NCBI's taxonomy places the organism in Eukaryota, Viridiplantae, Streptophyta, Magnoliopsida, Solanales, Solanaceae. The record is from RefSeq and is a predicted model, not a curated record.